UAAGUUAGAGCUUGUAGUAUAAGUUUGGUAUUUUUGAUACUAGGAAACAAAUUUUAAUGUUGUUAACUUAA
Molecule: transfer RNA, 71 nt
Filed under: Rhodosoma turcicum
Lineage: Eukaryota; Metazoa; Chordata; Ascidiacea; Phlebobranchia; Corellidae
Description: transfer RNA-Lys
Source: RNAcentral